RNAcentral lists this ribosomal RNA (697 nucleotides) under uncultured Chroococcales cyanobacterium. Its description in RNAcentral is "bacterial SSU rRNA". It matches the Rfam family "Bacterial small subunit ribosomal RNA", at positions 94 to 825 of the family's 1533-position model. The record is from RNAcentral. Lineage: Bacteria; Bacillati; Cyanobacteriota; Cyanophyceae; Chroococcales.
AGUGGCGGACGGGUGAGUAACGCGUGAGAAUCUGCCCUUAGGACGGGGACAACAGCUGGAAACGGCUGCUAAUACCCGAUGUGCCGAGAGGUGAAACAUUUAUGGCCUGAGGAUGAGCUCGCGUCUGAUUAGCUAGUUGGUGGGGUAAGAGCCUACCAAGGCAACGAUCAGUAGCUGGUCUGAGAGGAUGAUCAGCCACACUGGGACUGAGACACGGCCCAGACUCCUACGGGAGGCAGCAGUGGGGAAUUUUCCGCAAUGGGCGCAAGCCUGACGGAGCAAGACCGCGUGCGGGAGGACGGCCUAUUGGUUGUAAACCGCUUUUGAUAGGGAAGAAGUUCUGACGGUACCUAUCGAAUCAGCAUCGGCUAACUCCGUGCCAGCAGCCGCGGUAAUACGGAGGAUGCAAGCGUUAUCCGGAAUUAUUGGGCGUAAAGCGUCCGUAGGUGGUUGUUCAAGUCUGCUGUUAAAGCGUGCGGCUUAACCGCAUAUCAGCAGUGGAAACUGDACAACUAGAGUGCGGUAGGGGUCAGGGGAAUUCCCAGUGUAGCGGUGAAAUGCGUAGAUAUUGGGAAGAACACCGGUGGCGAAGGCGCCUGACUGGACCUGCACUGACACUGAGGGACGAAAGCUAGGGGAGCGAAAGGGAUUAGAUACCCCUGUAGUCCUAGCCGUAAACGAUGGACACUAGGUGUUG